Quercus robur (English oak) is the source of this 1362-nucleotide long non-coding RNA. RefSeq lists it as uncharacterized. The transcript has 2 exons. Lineage: Eukaryota; Viridiplantae; Streptophyta; Magnoliopsida; Fagales; Fagaceae. The record is from RefSeq and is a predicted model, not a curated record.
AAGACAAUCAAGGUAUCCGAAAUUUAAUUAUAAUGUUCUGUUCAAAGUCUCUCUCUCUCUGAGAAGCUUCAUCCACAGACUAAUUGCUUUAGUUUUUAACUACCACGAUUAUGACCAUUCGUAUAGUAAUAUCUACACACUACACCUAUAUAUAAAGAAGAUACCCAAGAAUUGUUUCAAAUUGAAGGUAAGAAAUGGGUGUCAUAUCAUACUUGGUCACGUUGAUUUUGAUCCACGGAUUGGUACUAUCACAGUUUAGUUACAAGGCCAACAUCGUUCAAGCUGCUUCUGUGUUACCCAACGAUUUUAAUUAUAAAUUGAAGGUAGUAUCUCAUGGGUUCUGAUCUUCGGGACAUGUUAUCUACAUUUUCCGAGUCCAUCGCGGCAGAGGGGGCCGUUUUCAAAAACCAGGCUGUUAAACACAUUCAAUUAUUGAAAGACUACGCUUUGAUGAUGCUGUUGAGUCCUUGACCACCCUAUUCUAAUUGAGCUGCAUAAAGGUUGAAGUUCCUUCUUCUUUAUGUUAGGGACCAAAUUCAUAAUUUACCCCAAAAAUUUUUUUUCUAUAGCCACCGCUUUGACUUUAAUAGUUAAAUCCAUAUUCAUACACGUUUCUCUCUCUCUCUCUCUCUCUCUCUCUCUCUCUGUCUAUCUAGGAAGCUUCAUCCAUGGACUAAAAUAUUUAGAACCAAAUUAACACGUUUCAGCAUAUCAAUGGUCUCAAAGACCAUCCAUCUAGCAUCUACAAGUAUAAAAGCAUACCCAAACACCGUUACACAAUAUAGGCAGUAAGAAUGAGAGUGAUAUCAUGUUUGCUCGCUUUGGUUUUGAUCCAUGGACUACUACUAUCACACUUUAGUUACAUGGGCGAUGCCUCUCAUGAUUUUUCUCAUGAACUUAAGGUCGUAUCCCAUAAGGUUAGUGCUUCUCCACCCCCACCACGUCGAGCCAAUCCGGGUCCUCAUCCACAUCCUAAACCGAAGUCGCCGCCGCCGCCACCGCCACCGCCACCACCGCCGCCGCCGCCGCCACCAUCACCACCACCAAAAGCUCCAUCCUCCAACGGCUAGUUUCAGUGUUGCCAGAGUUAUUUCAAAAUUCCUCAACAACACAACGAAUAUUGUCAUCAUCAACACCACCACGGUCUCGACAACCAUUCCACCAUCAGAUUCAUCAUGGUCUUGAUCAAUAUGAUUGUUGUGUGCUUACUACCUUUACUUGAUUAUAAGGGAUAUGGCUAAAAUCCCAAGUUUCUUUGCUGCUUACUACCUUUACUUGAUUAUAAGGGAUAUGGCUAAAAUCCCAAGUUUCUUUGCUUACUCUCCAUGCCAUGAAUCUAUAAUACUAUAAGUUCUCUGUUUC